Molecule: long non-coding RNA, 674 nt
Filed under: Helianthus annuus (common sunflower)
Lineage: Eukaryota; Viridiplantae; Streptophyta; Magnoliopsida; Asterales; Asteraceae
Description: hypothetical non coding rna
Source: RNAcentral
AUGAUUCGAAUACGUACCACCCGUACUCAAUCUCCAUUCGGGUGAGUUUGGAGCUGUUUAUUCAAAUUUCGGGCAUUUAUCGGGCAUGCUAGUUAGAGUCGAGCCGAUCGCGAAUGAAAUGCUAUACGAUCGAGCUGGAUUGGACAAGAGUUUUGGAGCUUAGGCGAUAAUUUACCAGCUAAGUCCUUUCCAUUUGUACACUUGUUUAUUUAUUUUGUUUUUAGGUUUUAGGAGUCAUGUUUCCAUCCUUGCAUUAGGGACAAUGCAAUAUUUAAGUGUGGGGAUGGGAGCUAGUAUUUAGUGUGUCUAGUUAGUAGUGUCAUGAAAAAUUGAAAAAUCCAAAAAAAAAAUUAAAAAAUUCAAAAAUCCAAAAAAAUUAAAAAAAUCAGAAAAUGUCUUUUGAAUAAGAAGUUUGCAAAGUAAAAACGGAAAGUGAUAGAGAAGUUGGGUUUUUGUUCGGGUUCGAAUAAUAAUAAUAUGAGAAUAAAAUAAUCGGGUUUGUGUCUAGUUUGGGAUGUGCGGGUAGGCUCGGUUCGGUUUUGAGUUUCCUUUGAUCUUAAUAUACCUAAUUGUCGGUCUACUAGUGGGUUCUCAUCUAGGGAAAGUGGGGAAAUCGAAACCGCAAAAAAUAACAUAAGGGGCACCGUUAUAAGUUAAAACCGUUAGAGUUUGUG